Molecule: long non-coding RNA, 200 nt
Filed under: Sus scrofa (pig)
Lineage: Eukaryota; Metazoa; Chordata; Mammalia; Artiodactyla; Suidae
Description: lncRNA (ENSSSCG00030030758.1)
Source: RNAcentral
UGCUAGGGUUGUCACAAAAAGGGGACUACAGAUUGGGUGACUUAAGUAACAGAAGUUUACUUUCCACAAUUCUAGAAGCCGGAGUCCAAGAUCAAGGUGUUAUCACAGGUGGAUUUCUUCAGAGGCCUUUCCUCUUGGCUUACAGAUGGGGAAGCUGAGGCCCAGAAAGAGGAAACGGCUUGCCACCCAAAUCACCCAGC